AUUGAACGCUGGCGGUAUGCCUAACACAUGCAAGUCGAACGGCAGCACAGUAGAGACUUCGGUCUUUAUGGGUGGCGAGUGGCGGACGGGUGAGUAAUAGGUAGGAAUCUGUCCUGGAGAGUGGGAUAACACGCGGAAACGCGUGCUAAUACCGCAUAAUAUUGAGAAAUCAAAGCAGGGGACCCUUCGGGGUCUUGCGCUCUAGGUUGAGCCUACGUCGGAUUAGCUAGUUGGUGGGGUAAAGGCCUACCAAGGCGGCGAUCCGUAGCUGGUCUGAGAGGAUGACCAGCCACACUGGGACUGAGACACGGCCCAGACUCCUACGGGAGGCAGCAGUGGGGAAUCUUGGACAAUGGGGGAAACCCUGAUCCAGCGAUACCGCGUGUGUGAAGAAGGCCUUCGGGUUGUAAAGCACUUUAGGUGGGGAAGAAAGGUACGAGAGGAAUAUUCUUGUGCUGUGACGGUACCCACAGAAUAAGCACCGGCUAACUCUGUGCCAGCAGCCGCCGUAA
Molecule: ribosomal RNA, 512 nt
Filed under: uncultured bacterium
Lineage: Bacteria
Description: partial 16S ribosomal RNA
Rfam family: Bacterial small subunit ribosomal RNA
Source: RNAcentral